This 98-nucleotide transfer RNA is filed under the name bacterium. Its description in RNAcentral is "tRNA-Sec". It matches the Rfam family "Selenocysteine transfer RNA". The record is from RNAcentral.
GGGAAUGGAUGCCGACCUGGUGGAGGCCGCGGCCUUCAAAGCCGUUGCGGGGCAGUGCACCUGUCCUGGCUGGGUUCGAUUCCCAGACGUUCCCGCCA